CGGGACACGUGGUAUCCUGUCUGAAUAUGGGGGGACCAUCCUCCAAGGCUAAAUACUCCUGACUGACCGAUAGUGAACCAGUACCGUGAGGGAAAGGCGAAAAGAACCCCGGCGAGGGGAGUGAAAAAGAACCUGAAACCGUGUACGUACAAGCAGUGGGAGCACGCUUAGGCGUGUGACUGCGUACCUUUUGUAUAAUGGGUCAGCGACUUAUAUUCUGUAGCAAGGUUAACCGAAUAGGGGAGCCGAAGGGAAACCGAGUCUUAACUGGGCGUUAAGUUGCAGGGUAUAGACCCGAAACCCGGUGAUCUAGCCAUGGGCAGGUUGAAGGUUGGGUAACACUAACUGGAGGACCGAACCGACUAAUGUUGAAAAAUUAGCGGAUGACUUGUGGCUGGGGGUGAAAGGCCAAUCAAACCGGGAGAUAGCUGGUUCUCCCCGAAAGCUAUUUAGGUAGCGCCUCGUGAAUUCAUCUCCGGGGGUAGAGCACUGUUUCGGCAAGGGGGUCAUCCCGACUUACCAACCCGAUGCAAACUGCGAAUACCGGAGAAUGUUAUCACGGGAGACACACGGCGGGUGCUAACGUCCGUCGUGAAGAGGGAAACAACCCAGACCGCCAGCUAAGGUCCCAAAGUCAUGGUUAAGUGGGAAACGAUGUGGGAAGGCCCAGACAGCCAGGAUGUUGGCUUAGAAGCAGCCAUCAUUUAAAGAAAGCGUAAUAGCUCACUGGUCGAGUCGGCCUGCGCGGAAGAUGUAACGGGGCUAAACCAUGCACCGAAGCUGCGGCAGCGACGCUGAUGCGUUGUUGGGUAGGGGAGCGUUCUGUAAGCCUGUGAAGGUGUGCUGUGAGGCAUGCUGGAGGUAUCAGAAGUGCGAAUGCUGACAUAAGUAACGAUAAAGCGGGUGAAAAGCCCGCUCGCCGGAAGACCAAGGGUUCCUGUCCAACGUUAAUCGGGGCAGGGUGAGUCGACCCCUAAGGCGAGGCCGAAAGGCGUAGUCGAUGGGAAACAGGUUAAUAUUCCUGUACUUGGUGUUACUGCGAAGGGGGGACGGAGAAGGCUAUGUUGGCCGGGCGACGGUUGUCCCGGUUUAAGCGUGUAGGCUGGUUUUCCAGGCAAAUCCGGAAAAUCAAGGCUGAGGCGUGAUGACGAGGCACUACGGUGCUGAAGCAACAAAUGCCCUGCUUCCAGGAAAAGCCUCUAAGCAUCAGGUAACAUCAAAUCGUACCCCAAACCGACACAGGUGGUCAGGUAGAGAAUACCAAGGCGCUUGAGAGAACUCGGGUGAAGGAACUAGGCAAAAUGGUGCCGUAACUUCGGGAGAAGGCACGCUGAUAUGUAGGUGAAGCGACUUGCUCGUGGAGCUGAAAUCAGUCGAAGAUACCAGCUGGCUGCAACUGUUUAUUAAAAACACAGCACUGUGCAAACACGAAAGUGGACGUAUACGGUGUGACGCCUGCCCGGUGCCGGAAGGUUAAUUGAUGGGGUCAGCGCAAGCGAAGCUCUUGAUCGAAGCCCCGGUAAACGGCGGCCGUAACUAUAACGGUCCUAAGGUAGCGAAAUUCCUUGUCGGGUAAGUUCCGACCUGCACGAAUGGCGUAAUGAUGGCCAGGCUGUCUCCACCCGAGACUCAGUGAAAUUGAACUCGCUGUGAAGAUGCAGUGUACCCGCGGCAAGACGGAAAGACCCCGUGAACCUUUACUAUAGCUUGACACUGAACAUUGAGCCUUGAUGUGUAGGAUAGGUGGGAGGCUUUGAAGUGUGGACGCCAGUCUGCAUGGAGCCGGCCUUGAAAUACCACCCUUUAAUGUUUGAUGUUCUAACGUUGACCCGUGAUCCGGGUUGCGGACAGUGUCUGGUGGGUAGUUUGACUGGGGCGGUCUCCUCCUAAAGAGUAACGGAGGAGCACGAAGGUUGGCUAAUCCUGGUCGGACAUCAGGAGGUUAGUGCAAUGGCAUAAGCCAGCUUGACUGCGAGCGUGACGGCGCGAGCAGGUGCGAAAGCAGGUCAUAGUGAUCCGGUGGUUCUGAAUGGAAGGGCCAUCGCU
RNAcentral lists this ribosomal RNA (2046 nucleotides) under Escherichia coli. RNAcentral describes it as "bacterial LSU rRNA". It matches the Rfam family "Bacterial large subunit ribosomal RNA", at positions 418 to 2449 of the family's 2925-position model. Lineage: Bacteria; Pseudomonadati; Pseudomonadota; Gammaproteobacteria; Enterobacterales; Enterobacteriaceae. The record is from RNAcentral.